RNAcentral lists this ribosomal RNA (526 nucleotides) under uncultured Bacteroidota bacterium. RNAcentral's name for it is "bacterial SSU rRNA". It matches the Rfam family "Bacterial small subunit ribosomal RNA", at positions 364 to 890 of the family's 1533-position model. Lineage: Bacteria; Pseudomonadati; Bacteroidota. The record is from RNAcentral.
UUGGUCAAUGGAGGCAACUCUGAACCAGCCAUGCCGCGUGCAGGAUGACUGCCCUAUGGGUUGUAAACUGCUUUUGUCAGGGAAUAAACCUUUCUACGUGUAGGAAGCUGAAUGUACCUGAAGAAUAAGGAUCGGCUAACUCCGUGCCAGCAGCCGCGGUAAUACGGAGGAUCCAAGCGUUAUCCGGAUUUAUUGGGUUUAAAGGGUGCGUAGGCGGUCCUAUAAGUCAGUGGUGAAAGACGGCAGCUUAACUGUCGCAGUGCCUUUGAUACUGUAGGACUUGAAUCUAUUUGAAGUGGGCGGAAUAAGACAAGUAGCGGUGAAAUGCAUAGAUAUGUCUUAGAACUCCGAUUGCGAAGGCAGCUCACUAAGUUAGUAUUGACGCUGAUGCACGAAAGCGUGGGGAUCAAACAGGAUUAGAUACCCUGGUAGUCCACGCCCUAAACGAUGAUAACUCGAUGUUUGCGAUACACAGUAAGCGUCCAAGCGAAAGCGUUAAGUUAUCCACCUGGGGAGUACGGUCGCA